UACAGAGGUCUCAAGCGUUGUUCGGAUUCAUUGGGCGUAAAGCGCGUGUAGGCGGCCAGGUAGGUCUGCUGUGAAAACUCGAGGCUCAACCUCGAGACGUCGGCGGAAACCAUCUGGCUAGAGUCCGGAAGAGGAGAGUGGAAUUCCUGGUGUAGCGGUGAAAUGCGCAGAUAUCAGGAAGAAUAUCCGUGGCGAAGGCGGCUCUCUGGGACGGUACUGACGCUGAGACGCGAAAGCGUGGGGAGCGAACAGG
RNAcentral lists this ribosomal RNA (253 nucleotides) under uncultured bacterium. Its description in RNAcentral is "partial 16S ribosomal RNA". It matches the Rfam family "Bacterial small subunit ribosomal RNA", at positions 524 to 776 of the family's 1533-position model. The record is from RNAcentral.